GAUGAAGAACGCAGCGAAAUGCGAUAAGUAAUGUGAAUUGCAGAAUUCAGUGAAUCAUCGAAUCUUUGAACGCACAUUGCGCCCGCCAGUAUUCUGGCGGGCAUGCCUGUUCGAGCGUCAUUAUAACCCCUCAAGCUCAGCUUGGUGUUGGGGCCUGCUGCACUGGCAGCCCUUAAAAUCAGUGGCGGCGCCAUCUGGCUCUAAGCGUAGUAAUUCUUCUCGCUAUGGAGUCCUGGUGGAUGCUUGCCAUCAACCCCCAAUUUUUCUAUGGUUGACCUCGGAUCAGGUAGGGAUACCCGCUGAACUUAAGCAUAUCAAUAAGCGGAGGA
This 329-nucleotide unclassified non-coding RNA is filed under the name soil metagenome. RNAcentral describes it as "partial contains 5.8S ribosomal RNA, internal transcribed spacer 2, and large subunit ribosomal RNA". The stretch from base 1 to 120 matches the Rfam family "5.8S ribosomal RNA", at positions 35 to 154 of the family's 154-position model. The record is from RNAcentral.